RNAcentral lists this non-coding RNA (32 nucleotides) under Mus musculus (house mouse). The record is from RNAcentral. Lineage: Eukaryota; Metazoa; Chordata; Mammalia; Rodentia; Muridae.
UGCACUGUGUUCCCUAUUCACAAAGACUAUGC